Molecule: long non-coding RNA, 1456 nt
Organism: Aedes albopictus (Asian tiger mosquito)
Lineage: Eukaryota; Metazoa; Arthropoda; Insecta; Diptera; Culicidae
Exons: 3
Source: RefSeq, a predicted model, not a curated record
AAGGAUCUCAUUUUGAGUGGUAACUCAUAACCAACACUAAUGUGUUGAGAACUGUCAUUGCUACAGCUGUGCAAUGUUUAUGUUUACGUUUCGCUUCGAGUGUGACGGUUCGCGAUACCGGCUUUCUCGAGUCUAUUUCCACGAAUUAAAUCGCGCGUUUCGGGAAAUUAACUAAAAAAUUGUGUCCGCGAAUAGAAAACUCUCGACAGAAUCGAACGGAUCGGAGAGGAUUCACUUCUGGAGGCAAUAUUUUGGUCUGCCCAGGUCUGAAAGUGCAUCCAUUGAGCACUCAUUCAUUGAGUGACUCAUCAAUUGAGCGGUCCGGACCUAUGAAUGGUGAGUAACAAAUCAAUCAACUGCGACUGAUUGUUGAAGAAUUCACGUUCAUCGAUGAAUAUUUUUGUGUUUUAGAAGCUGGACUUCGAUUGUCCAAACAACUUACUGCGUGGGAUAAAGGACAUCGCCGAAUCGACUGUAUCGAAACGGUCCCACUUUUGGAGGAAAAUGUCGGGCUCGCACCGGACAACUUCGCCGGGAUUCCUCGAGCUUCUCGACUGCGCUUUGGCCACAUCGGACCGAUACUCUCGGGUGCUACCAGGUAGACCCGAGCAAAAAGUGUUUAUUUAUUCUGUACUUUUAUGGUAGUACUCUAAAUUACCAAAUAAAUUUCGAUUUUGGGGUUUGGGAAUGGGUUUUCUAGGAAGAAAAACCCCAUCGGGGUUCGGGAAAUCGGAAAGCAGUUCACGGGAACUGUCCGCGGUAAUCUUUCGCGCAUUUCCGUCGGGUUGGGAGAAUUUUUCGCGAUUUGCUUUACGGUGUCCAUUUCAGAUCGCCACUCGGGUGGGUCUGCUUUAGUUUCGCGGUUUGUCUAGCGGUUUUGAGAGCUCUUCAUCGGUUGCUCGGAUCGUGGUAAGUAUCUCCUACGGUAAGUAUUAUACUUUUCGGUUACUUCGCGGAUUUUGGUCAGACCUCCGGAUGUCUGCCAAACCGGUUUCACGUUUUAUUGAUUUCGCGACCGAGAUCGCGACGUACUCUCGGUUGGGUCAGCACCCAUCGUUGUUGUGACCGGUCGAUCUUGCUCGAAGAGAUCGACCUUUAGAGUUCGGGUGUGCAAGAACACGGCUUGCUCUUCUAGAUUUUCGCGGAUACUGGAAUAAUGCGGACAUUUUGCGGUUGUUUGUGCGGAAGUCCAUCGAACAGACCGAGUCUUCCAACGAGUUGCACGACGGUGCGAUCGUUUGAUAUCGCGGCGAGACAUUUCGCGGUUACGUUUCGGUCACGGAUUGGUUCCGCGUUUCACGAAUUUCGAUUAAAUUUGUUAUUCUACAUAGCGUUCAAUCGGAUUGGAUAAUACGACCUAAAAUUGAAAAAAAAACCUAAUAUUUACGCGCGCAUUUUGAAAAUUCCUAUGGUAUGCUCGUGAUUCCGGAAUGGAAUCCGUGUGUUCCUGAAACAU